UUGGCGUACGUGCCAGGCGAGCAAUUCCUACAGGACUGAAUGGGCGCCAGUUUUAGUCCGGUAUCCAGCUCUCAUGCAGCUUUUAAUGUGACUAAGUUUAGACUUCCUUCUUUUUGUCACUGUGACUGACAGACUGACAGCUUGCCCACCCUAUCAGAUUCAUGAAAACUUCUUCUCUUACGGUACGUGACUGAAGUUAGGCUACAUCGCGUACGCACUGUCACAAUGCGGUUUUGUGUUGCUAGCAGCUAACUUAGAUGAAAGUCGGAAGCUAUGGUUAAGCAGCUAUGUUUGAGCCGCUUAAAAAAAAAACACGUCCAGAGGAUGAAGUAUGUUUGGACCAGGCCGUGCCUCAAGUGAAGUCGCAGCAGGAUGGUUGUGAGACCGUUUGUUUGCACCAAAUGCGGUGUAACAACAGAUCCAGAUGCACCUCACAUCAUCCAUGUUGACUGGACACUUCAACAACUCAACGUUUUUGUCUUUUGAAAGAGAACUAACUGACACUUCAGAUUACAAAGACAUAAUCAGCCUUUCCAACUCAAAGCCCAGAAGACUUCACCUUGUGUAUGAAUAGCAGCAGGUGCAGGCUGGGGAGAAUGUCUAGAUGACCACCCCCCCUACCACCACCACCACCACCAUCAUCAUCACCCUACUGCGCUCUGAAGCACCCUGCAGUGGGGCGUCCCGGUGAGGUGUCGGUCAAGAGGGCGGAGUUGGUGUCUGCAGGUCUUCCUUUCCGACUGCAUACAGCCCCGACAACCACCACGGAGAAGCCACUUUACCAGACAUGUUACUGUCUACAAACUGUCCUAACCAGAGACAUCUCGACUCUUCAGUGUUUCCUGUAAUGUUUGACGAACCACCAGUAAGAAUGACGUUCUGGUGGUGCACAGCAGCACAAUACUGACGUGUCAUCUAAUUUCAAAUCGCACUGUGCUACUACAGAAAGAGAAGAGAAGAAGAGAGAGCGCAAGGAUCGGACGGUAUGGAAGACAGCACCCUGCUGGCUGACUCACCUGCUGCCCUGUGGGAGGUAACUAGCUAGCAGCACUGCUAACCCACACAGCUAGUGAACUGUGAAACAACUGCAGUCAAAACAUCAAGCCGAUUAGACGCUAAUUACGUCUGCUGCCAUAUGGUGCUAACUGACCUGCGGACACCCAAAAACAUAGAAGUGUGUGUGUGUGUGUGUGUGUGUGUGUGUGUGUGUGUGUGUGUGUGUGUUUGUGUUUUUGUGUUGGUGGAAAUUAAAGACCUGUUCUGCCUCAACACUUGCUGCUAGUUAUUAGCCGAAGCUAAUUGAAUCCAUUAUAUUGAACCAGUUUUUGCAAGUGACCACACACACAGAUACACUCACAAGUGGCUUACAGACACUCAUCAGUGGAGAAAGCAGGUGAAUCUAGACAAAUUGGCGUUCCUCAAUGAUGACCCCAAACGCCAAAGAUACUUUAGGCUUCACUAGGCACGGAGACUCAGCCGAAGUCUAGUUGAAAUUAAUCUGCACUGACAACACAAGCGCGUCCCUCAUUGUUCCUAGGUAGAGAAAACACAGAUAAGAUGCUUUGAAGGUGCACCAAAAUGCAGCACAAAAUGUAAUGUUAAAAGCACAAUCUGUGAUCGAACCAAAACAUAACAGAACCACCCAUAUUUAAAACGUGGGACAGAAACAUGCUAUUACACUUGAAUUGAUUGACAAGUCUUGAAAACAUGGAAUAUAACUGAAUACAAAAGACAGUAGAGACAUUAUAUGAUUCCAGGCAGACACAAUUGGUUAUCGUUAGAUUUGGCAGAAAAGGCUUUGCUCUUUAGAGGAAGCUCUUAAAGAAUACAAAUAGCAACAGGAGAACUAAUCCCCCUUUAAUAAAUACGUUAAAUGUUUGGGGUUUUUUGCUUUUCCUCAUUUCCAGUCAAAUAUACAAUUUCACAAUGUCAGAUGUUCAUAUUAAACAUGGCCAAGGUGUCAAAUAAUGAGGUGAACGUAUGUAGCAGUUAUCCCUGUCAACAAAAAGCACCAACUUCAGACUGUUCUGAACGCUCAGUUUCCAACACUUUUUUCUACCUUCAGGCCAAGCCGACGUCAGCUCAUGACAGAUUCCUUUAUAUGGUCAUCUGCUACACACACAGCACGCAAGCUCACUGCUCCACUCUGCUAACAUUAUGGCAUUUUUCCAUUGUUUUGGGGGUAGUCACGCCAAGCUGCUGUGAGUGUUUAUCCAUUAUACAGCAGGGCAAAGUAAAAUAAGUUGUUUACCUGUUGUAGCUGGUCAUCUGCAGCUCUUAAUCAAACAUCACCAGCACUGUGGCUGAUUAUUCCUCUCUGCAUUAUUUGUAACUGAUCCGCUCAACAAAAAGCCCCAAAUAUCUCUAUAUCUUGUUGUGUUGACCGGUUUUUAGCGCCACUAACAAAGCUCUGCUAAUUCUGUGAAGAACGCGUUUCACUACCUCUAAAUUCUCCACAAUAAAAUUCAUCCAUUAUUUAGUCGUUUAAAAGCAGGAAAAUGUUGGGUUUUCAUCAGCAGUAACUUAACACAACUCUGAGGGGGGGGGGCUUAAAGAGACAGGAGCUAAAACUGUCUGUUGAAGGCUGAGCAUUCAGUGUAAAGUCAACAUAUGAAAAACUUAUAAUAGGGAGUAGUAUCAGGUUAGAAAAGCAAACAAGAUGCUCCAUUUAUGGUGGCCAGGGAAAGCAAUCCAUACUGUAUAUUAUUACUAUAAGAUGCCAACAGCAAAUGCACAUCACCAACAGUCACAUAUUAUUUUGCCAAAUGUACAAUAAAAAAGGUAUCACUCCUGAAAUAAAGUUACAUUUUGUAACCCUUUUUGACAUGUCCAUGCAUAUAAUAGCAGCAGCAGAAGCUCAAAAGGUUCUUGUGCUUCGCUAUACUUACCCCAGUUUAGCCCCAUGUUAUCUCAUGUGUUCUCUUAUAUGAGAGAAUCAGGACUCUUGUGGGGACCAAAAUGUUAGCUUGAAUCAGAGACCCUCCCAUUGGCAAUGCAGCAAAAUCAAGUAGACAAAGUCUGCAUAAUAUUCAAAUUUUCUUGAGGACACAAGUUGGGACACUGUUGGGUCAAAUCAAGGUUCUAGUGAG
Molecule: long non-coding RNA, 3089 nt
Organism: Thunnus maccoyii (southern bluefin tuna)
Lineage: Eukaryota; Metazoa; Chordata; Actinopteri; Scombriformes; Scombridae
Exons: 5
Source: RefSeq, a predicted model, not a curated record